Molecule: ribosomal RNA, 443 nt
Filed under: uncultured bacterium
Lineage: Bacteria
Description: partial 16S ribosomal RNA
Rfam family: Bacterial small subunit ribosomal RNA
Source: RNAcentral
CCUACGGGAGGCAGCAGUGGGGAAUAUUGGACAAUGGGGGGAACCCUGAUCCAGCGACGCCGCGUGAGUGAAGAAGUAUUUCGGUAUGUAAAGCUCUAUCAGCAGGGAAGAAAGAAAUGCCGGUACCUGACUAAGAAGCCCCGGCUAACUACGUGCCAGCAGCCGCGGUACUACGUAGGGGGCAAGCGUUAUCCGGAUUUACUGGGUGUAAAGGGAGCGUAGACGGCGAUGCAAGUCUGAAGUGAAAGGCGGGGGCCCAACCUCCGGACUGCUUUGGAAACUGUAUGGCUGGAGUGCAGGAGAGGUAAGUGGAAUUCCUAGUGUAGCGGUGAAAUGCGUAGAUAUUAGGAGGAACACCAGUGGCGAAGGCGGCUUACUGGACUGUAACUGACGUUGAGGCUCGAAAGCGUGGGGAGCAAACAGGAUUAGAUACCCUUGUAGUC